GAUGAUUAUGACAGCUCCUCCGAUGAGAAAGCAACCCAUGAGGAAGAAGCGCAACCUCUUCGUCUCAUAUGUAUCUCUCUCGCUCUCUCUGUGUCUUUGUCUCUCCAUCCAUCCCUUCAACAUUUCACAUGUAUUACCACACAUUUUUUGGGGGAAAUGUACUUUUUCUAGAUUUACUUUGUUUUAUCUGCGAGGUUUGAUUUUGUUCAGGUUAUUGGGUAAUGUCUUGCAGGGAUAGAAAACCAGCGAUCACUCCCCUGAUUUAUUUAACCUUUAUUUAACUAGGCAAGUCAGUUAAGAACAAAUUCUUGAUGGGCCUGCCCAUCAUAGUAUCUACAAUGGCGGCGUACUUGAUCAAGUAUCUGUGUUUUUGUUUAUGUUAUAUAGUAUAACGUUGACUCCGUGUUUUAUACAGUUACCUAACUGGUAUUCUAUUUUGUCGGGGGUUAACCCCUUACACUCGUGGAAAUUGACCUAUGUGGAUAGGGCCAAAUUAAAAUGUUUUUAACAGAAGAACCAUAAAAAGAAUAUACAUUGCCUUCGGAAAGUAUUCAGAUCCCUUGACUUUUUCCACAUUUUGUUACGUUACAGCCUUAUUCACAAAUCAAAUAAAAAAAGAUCCUUUGCAAUCUACACCCAAUACCCAAUAACGACAAAGCGAAAAUAGAUGUUUUGAUUUUUUUGAAAAUGUAUUAAAAAUAAAACAGAAAUACCUUAAUGUUUACAAUGGCUGACACUUAAAUAACGUGCCAUAGAAUUCUGCGGAACCAUGCAAGCUGUGCUACAGUACGCUGCAACUUUUAAAGGAUGAACCACUAUAUCAAAAGCAGCACUAAGGUCUAGGACAGAUGCAGAGCCUUGGUCUUAUUCCAUUAAAUGGUCAUUUACCACCUUCACGAUUGCGGUCUCAGUGCUAUGAUGGGCUCUACAACCAGACUGAAGCGUUUCGUAUACGUUGUUUGUCUUCAGGAAGGCAGUGAGUUGCUGCGCAACAGUAUUGGGAGAUUCGAUAUAGGCUGAUAGUUUUUUUUCUGGGUUAAGGUUUGUUUUUUCAAAAGAGGCUGUAUUACUGCCACUUUUAGUGAGUUUGGUACACAUUUGGUGGAUAGGGAGCCGUUUAUUAUGUUCAACAUAGGAGGGCAAAGCACAGGAAGCAGCUCUUUCAGUAGUUUAGUUGGAAUAUGGUCCAGUAUGCAGCUUGAAGGUUUAGAAGCCAUGAUUAUUUUCAUCAAUGUGUCAAGAGAUAUAAUAUUAAAAAACUCGAGUGUCUCCCUUGAUCCUAGGUCCUGGCAGUGUUGUGCAGACUCAGGAAAACUGAGCUUUGGAGGAAUACACAGGUUUAAAGAGGUGUCCAUAAUAUUUAUUUCUAUUGAUCAUGAUCUUUUCAUCAAAUAAGUUAAUGAAUUUAUCACUGCUGAUAUCACUGCUCUCUUGGUGAAUACUGCUUUUAGUUAGCUUUGCGACAGGUUCAAAAAUAAAUGUAGAUUGUUCUUAUUCUCCUAAAAUAAGUUGGAAAAAUAGGAUAAUCGAGCAGCAGUAAGGGCUCUUCGAUACUGCACGGUACAGUCUUUCCAAGCUAGUCAGAAGACUUCCAGUUUGGUGUGGGGCCAUUUCCGUUCCAAUUCUCUGGAAGCUUGCUUCAGAGCUCGGGUAUUUUCUGUAUACCAGGGAGCUAGUUUCUUAUGACAAAUGUUUUUAGUUUUUAUGGGAGCUACUGCAUUUAGGGUAUUAUGCUAGUUUAAAUUUAGUUCCAAUUUUUGUACUCUGAGGUCCUUGGGUAAGUGAAGGGAGUCUGAAAGGGCAUCUAGGAAUCUUUGGGAUGUCCGAGAAUUUGUACCACGGCUUUUGAUGAUCCUUGGUUGGGCUCUGAGCAGAUUAUUUCUGUGAUUGCAAACGUAAUAAAAUGGUGGUCCGAUAGUCCAGGAUUAUGAGGAAGCACAUUAAGCUCCACAAUAUUUAUUCCAAGGAACAAAACUAGGUCCAGAGUAUGACUGUGGCAGUGAGUAGGCUCCGCAAUCCUUUUGGAAUGGGUCUGUGGACUUUUCCAUGUGAAUAUUAAAGUCACCAAAAAUGUGAAUAUUAUCUGCCAUGACUACAAGGUCCGAUAGAAAUCCAGGGAACUCAGUGAGGAAUGCUGUAAAUGUGGCAUCCCCUUAAAUGAGGAGAUGCCUCAUUUAACACAAUAAAUUAAUCAGGCUUAAGCCAUGUUUCUGUCAGGCCAAUCACAUCAAGAUUAUGAUCAGUGAUUAGUUCAUUGACUAUAACUGCCUUGGAAGUGAGGGAUCUAAUAUUAAGUAGCCAUAUUUUGAGAUGUGAGAUAUCACAAUCUCUUUAAAUAAUGACAGGACUGGGGGAGGUCUUUAUUCCAGUGAGAUUGCUAAGGCAAACACCACCCUAUCUCAUUGUGGAGUUAGAGGAGGUAGAGCCAUGUCUAUGUUCAUAGAUAAGAUGAGAGCACCCCUCCAGCUUGGCUGGAGUCCGUCACUCCUCAGCAGGCCAGACUUGGUCCUGUUUGUGGGUGAGUCCCAGAAAGAGAGCCAAUUAUCUACAAAUUCUAUCUUUUGGGAGAGGUAGAAAACAGUUUUCUGUUUAAUGUUUUCAACCAGCAAUUGAGUUGUGAUACUCUGCUGUAGAACUCAUCACUCCCCCUAUCUGGGAGGGGGCCAGAGACAGUUCUCGAUGCCUACACAUCGUUCUAGCUGAUUUACACGCUGAAGCUAUGUGGCGCUUGGUGACCUCUGACUGUUCCAUCCUAACAUCGUUAGUGCCGACGUAGAUAGCAAUAUCCCUACACUCUCUACACUCGCUAGAUUUAGCCUUAGCCAGCACCAUCUUCAUAUUAGUCUUAAUGUUGGUAGCCCUGUCCCCUGGUAAACAGUGUAUGAUCGCUGGAGGAUUCUUUUUAAGUCUAAUACUGCAGGUAAUGGAGUCGCCAAUGACUAGGGUUUUCAAUUUGUCAGAGCUAAUGGUGGGUGGCUUCGGUGUCUCAGACCCCGUAACGGGAGGAGGAGAGACCAGAGAAGGCUCGUUCUAUGACUCCGACUUCUUGCUUAACGGGGAGAACUGGUUGAAAAUUUCUGUCGGCUGAAUGAGCGACACCGGUUGAGCAUUCCUACAGCAUUUCCUUCCAGAAGCCUUGAGAAAACUGUUCGGCUGCGCGGAUUGUGCGAGGGGAUUUACACUAUUGUACUUAUUGGUGGCACAGGGGCUCUUUCAUCCUUUCCUACACUUAAAUUACAAUUGCCUAACGAUUGCGUCUGAAGCUGGGCUUGCAGCACGGCUAUCAUCACCAUAAGGUGAUCGUUCUCCUGUAUAUUAUGAGUACAGCGACUGCAAUUAGAAGGCAUAAUGUUAAUGUUACUACUUAGCUUCGUCUGGUGGAGGUCAUGUAGAACCAUGUCCAGAUAAAGCGUCCGGAGUGAAAAAGUUUAAUUUAAAAAUGUUGAGUGAGGGGAACAUUUUUUAAAUAUAAAACAGUAGUUGGAACAGAAGUUGGCAGGUCGCAAAGUAACGUUAGCAACAAACCGUACAGCAGCACGUAAAGUUCGCAAGUUGUGACCGGAAAUUACACAUCUGUCGUUUCUCUUUGCUUAUUUGAGUUGUUCUUGUCAUAAUGUGGACUUGGUCUUUUACCAAAUAGGGCUAUCUUCUGUAUACCAAACAACCCUACCUUGUCACAACACAACUGAUUGGCUCAAACAGAUUAAGAAGGAAAGAAAUUCCACAAAUUAACUGUUAACAAGGCACACCUGACCUCUUAAGGAUCAGAUACUUCAUCUCAAUUUCCGUCUAAAAUGACAGACCCAAAUCUAAAUCAAGCUGAGGACAUGAAGCAAGAACAUGAAUAUUCUUGAUACUAUUUGAAAGGAAACACUUUGAAGUUUGUGGAAAUGUGAAAUUAAUGUAGGAGAAUAUAACACAUAUCUGGUGAAAGUCACAGCCAACAAACGUGUUUUCUAUAUAUUUUUUUGCAUCUUUGCAAUGCAAAGAAAGGCCAUACAUUUACCUAGGAAGCUGGGUGUAAUUGUGAUGUUGUCCACAAAAGGGUGGCAUUGUAUGUGCAAAGUUUCAGACUGAUAUGUUCAAGAAUGAGAGCUCAACUUUAUAUUUUCUCCCAGAUGUCCCUCACGAGUUUGCCCAGAUGUACACAAGUGGCCGAAUUGGUCACUUGAUACAUUUCCAAGCAUUUCCAAACAUUUAAGUUUACACUGACAAUAUCACUUGAUAAUUUAAAUCACUCAAGGAUAUGGUGGAAGCCUCCAACACGUCUAUCUUAAAACUCUCAAAUGACAUUUCCAGCCAAUCGGUCACAUGCAAGUCUCUGGAGCAGCUCUGUGAUGAGAUGCAGGUUAGCGCCAGGGCUGCUACAGAUGACGUAGCCACCUGCCGAGAUGCAGUGAAGCAACUGCGAGAUAAAAUUACGUUGCAUGAAGACAGAGAGAAGAGAGUGAACAUGCGUCUUGUGGGUCUGAAAGAAACGGCAGAAGGUUCUGACCCAAAAGGUUUUCUUCAGGAGAAUCUACCAAAAUGGAUACCGUUGCUACAGUGGUUCCUCCUUUAAAAGUUGCGUCAUACUGUGGCACACCUUGCGGGCUGCUGCAGCAUUCUGUGGCACGUUAUCUAUUUGUCAGCAACUUUUCUGUUAAUGCUUACACUAUUGCUAGUUUGACCACUAGAGGGCAUCUUUGAGAUUCAUUUGAUAGUCUUCCAUAUUGGCAUUAACAGAGAAUUUAAAACCUUUUUUGUAAUAACGUAGUAUAUGAGAUUGAUCUAAGAAAUUUGGCUUAAUUUGAUUAAUAUUAUGGUGUUUCUAUUCCGAGAAAGGGAAGGAGUCGGCUGUCCAUGUAAAUAGGAAUUUGUUCUUAACUGACUUGCCUAGUUAAAUUACGGUUACACUAAGAGCAUAACAUUUCUGUACCCUAAUUUUCUAAUUCUUAUCUAACCAAUACCCAAAUGGGGAUUAAGUGAAAAUAAAAAAUCUAAUUGAUUUGUCAAGACCUGUCUCCGUGCUUGCCUCAGAGCAGUGCGAAACGUUUUCUUCUUUUGCUUCUAACUUCAAUAUGCUCUUUAAUUAAAUAAAUAAGACCUACACUAAUUUUAACAGCACAUUACUCAACACAAGUGAGACUCAUUUCACCUAUGGUAGGCCUACAGUAUAUCGAUUUAUCUAUUUUCAAUGAUGUGACUAUACGCCAAUAAUUACAUUUAGAGGAUUGGAGGACUCUAAAUUAAAAUCUAAGGGGCAUUUUCCAUUAGGAUCUGUGAGAGUAUCUGAGAAUAUCUAAGGGGCUUUUAUAUCAUUCUUAAUUAAUUAAUUAAAUAAUAAUAAUAACCGCUUUGUUUAAAAAGUAACAAUAUUUUGGAGCUUUCCUUUUCAUUUAAACCUAGAGUGAGCUAGGAAAAAGGCAGUUCUUGAACAUGGGGUAAGACAUUCUCACUAAUUUGUAAAUAAAGCCAGUUUGUUAUUUAGAAAGGUUUCUCCAGAAAUAAAUCACACUAUUAUUUAGCAGACAUCACUUGCUUAUAUUCAUGAAGAUGAUGAGCGAUCGGCAAAGGCAAUCUGUAAUCUGCUGGCAUCACGGCACGACAUCGCUCUAAUUACAGUCAGAAGACAGUUGAAGAACCUUGCGUGGACUUGGAAAGGCUUAGUAAAAAAAAUAUGUAUAUAUAUUUUUUAAUUAUCAUAACAUUAACCAUGUGCGUUCGCUUAUUUUGUACUGUUCUGUAGUUUCGACCCAAUGAUUCAUCUGACAAACAAAGAACUUUGCGUCCUACAGGCCCAGGCAUGGAUCAAAGCUGAUGAGACAUUCAAUAAUGUUAUCUUCACAGACGAAUCAACCGCGGCCCUUGAGCAAUUUGCUCAAAAUCGCUACAGAAAAAAAAGGAGAUCAAGCAAGCCGAGUCCCAAGCAUCCGCUCAAACUCCAUGUGUGGGGGGCAAUUUCUCGCCAGGCAAUUUCUCGUCAGGCACCAGGCCCAUAUUGGAUUUUUGAUGAUAUCAUGGCUCGAGAUUUCUUUGAGGACUGUCAGAGAGGUGUUUCUGGGUACACAUCGUUUCUUUCAAGACAAUGACAUAAAACACGGGUUUGCAUUGCAAAUGAGGCCAUAAACUGGGUCAAGUCGCCAGCAGAGU
This is a long non-coding RNA of Oncorhynchus nerka (sockeye salmon), 6132 nucleotides long. RefSeq lists it as uncharacterized. The transcript is spliced from 3 exons. The record is from RefSeq and is a predicted model, not a curated record. NCBI's taxonomy places the organism in Eukaryota, Metazoa, Chordata, Actinopteri, Salmoniformes, Salmonidae.